RNAcentral lists this ribosomal RNA (505 nucleotides) under uncultured bacterium. RNAcentral describes it as "partial 16S ribosomal RNA". It matches the Rfam family "Bacterial small subunit ribosomal RNA", at positions 30 to 523 of the family's 1533-position model. The record is from RNAcentral.
AUUGAACGCUGGCGGCAGGCCUAACACAUGCAAGUCGAACGGUAACAGGAAACAGCUUGCUGUUUCGCUGACGAGUGGCGGACGGGUGAGUAAUGUCUGGGAAACUGCCUGAUGGAGGGGGAUAACUACUGGAAACGGUAGCUAAUACCGCAUAACGUCGCAAGACCAAAGAGGGGGACCUUCGGGCCUCUUGCCAUCGGAUGUGCCCAGAUGGGAUUAGCUUGUUGGUGGGGUAACGGCUCACCAAGGCGACGAUCCCUAGCUGGUCUGAGAGGAUGACCAGCCACACUGGAGCUGAGACACGGUCCAGACUCCUACGGGAGGCAGGAGUGGGGAAUAUUGCACAAUGGCGCAAGCCUGAUGCAGCCAUGCCGCGUGUAUGAAGAAGGCCUUCGGGUUGUAAAGUACUUUCAGCGGGGAGGAAGGGAGUAAAGUUAAUACCUUUACUCAUUGACGUUACCCGCAGAAGAAGCACCGGCUAACUCCGUGCCAGCCGCCGCAGUAA